This 134-nucleotide long non-coding RNA is filed under the name Macaca nemestrina (pig-tailed macaque). RNAcentral describes it as "lncRNA (ENSMNEG00000045772.1)". The record is from RNAcentral. Lineage: Eukaryota; Metazoa; Chordata; Mammalia; Primates; Cercopithecidae.
UGGCACAAGUAAGUCCCCUCCUCAAACUGACACAGGCAGUGCGCAUGUGUGAGCACCUCGUGGACAGGACGUGAGCAUGAGAGCCACCCCAGCCUUCCUGGUAUCGCCGGCCUUCAGGUGUCUGGAGCCCCCAC